RNAcentral lists this ribosomal RNA (462 nucleotides) under uncultured Klebsiella sp. Its description in RNAcentral is "bacterial SSU rRNA". It matches the Rfam family "Bacterial small subunit ribosomal RNA", at positions 338 to 795 of the family's 1533-position model. Lineage: Bacteria; Pseudomonadati; Pseudomonadota; Gammaproteobacteria; Enterobacterales; Enterobacteriaceae. The record is from RNAcentral.
CCUACGGGCGGCUGCAGUGGGGAAUAUUGCACAAUGGGCGCAAGCCUGAUGCAGCCAUGCCGCGUGUGUGAAGAAGGCCUUCGGGUUGUAAAGCACUUUCAGCGGGGAGGAAGGCGUUAAGGUUAAUAACCUUGUCGAUUGACGUUACCCGCAGAAGAAGCACCGGCUAACUCCGUGCCAGCAGCCGCGCUAAUACGGAGGGUGCAAGCGUUAACCGGAAUUACUGGGCGUAAAGCGCACGCAGGCGGUCUGUCAAGUCGGAUGUGAAAUCCCCGGGCUCAACCUGGGAACUGCAUUCGAAACUGGCAGGCUAGAGUCUUGUAGAGGGUAGAAUUCCAGGUGUAGCGGUGAAAUGCGUAGAGAUCUGGAGGAAUACCGGUGGCGAAGGCGGCCCCCUGGACAAAGACUGACGCUCAGGUGCGAAAGCGUGGGGAGCAAACAGGAUUAGAUACCCGAGUAGUC